RNAcentral lists this ribosomal RNA (247 nucleotides) under uncultured bacterium. RNAcentral describes it as "partial 16S ribosomal RNA". It matches the Rfam family "Bacterial small subunit ribosomal RNA", at positions 15 to 250 of the family's 1533-position model. The record is from RNAcentral.
GAUCCUGGCUCAGGAUGAACGCUAGCUACAGGCUUAACACAUGCAAGUCGAGGGGCAGCGGGAUUGAAGCUUGCUUCAAUUGCCGGCGACCGGCGCACGGGUGAGUAACGCGUAUCCAACCUUCCGCAUACUUGGGGAUAGCCUUCUGAAAAGGAGAUUAAUACCCGAUGGUAUCAAGAGAUUGCAUGAUAACUUUAUUAAAGUAAAUUUACGGUUAGUGCGAUGGGGAGUGCGUUCCUACUUAAGG